GUCGCAGGUUCGAAUCCUGCACGACCCACCAAUCGCUAAGGUGGAACGCGAUUGUAAAACGUGAAGGAUAACGUUGCGUAAGCAACGGCCCGUAGGGCGAGGCAAAGCCGAGUCAUCCUGCACGCCCCACCA
Molecule: small RNA, 132 nt
Filed under: Citrobacter freundii
Lineage: Bacteria; Pseudomonadati; Pseudomonadota; Gammaproteobacteria; Enterobacterales; Enterobacteriaceae
Description: partial RtT sRNA
Rfam family: RtT RNA
About the family: This family represents a bacterial cis-regulatory element known as RtT RNA. The exact function of RtT is unknown although it is thought that it may be involved in changing the cellular response in relation to amino acid starvation.
Source: RNAcentral